Long non-coding RNA from Scophthalmus maximus (turbot), 381 nucleotides. RefSeq lists it as uncharacterized. NCBI's taxonomy places the organism in Eukaryota, Metazoa, Chordata, Actinopteri, Pleuronectiformes, Scophthalmidae. The transcript is spliced from 2 exons. The record is from RefSeq and is a predicted model, not a curated record.
GCAGGAGGGUCCCGUGGGUUUGACAGCUGCUCUUCACACUUCCGACCACAUCCCCACUUGCCACAGCGAGUGCAGAGAAGAAUCGACGUUGGAAGUGCUUGUAGAUCAUUUGCUUCCCGCCGCUGUGGCCGCGUCCCGCUCCUCUCGGCAGUGGGAAAAGGAGCCGGGGAGGCGCGCAGCGAGGGCAGAGGGCCGGGAGGCGGCAAAGGCCCACUCGUCUGGAGAGGGGGGAGGGGGGGCAGUGUGACACGGAGGAGCUGUGUCCUGGUAUCUCGUUACACACACCUACCAGUCCAGAAAACAAGAAACGACUGUGUCCUCAUGUCUUCAUUAUAGCUGAAAUGUAUAAAAUAAACUACUGUGAAAUGUAUAAAAAAAAAA